AGCAAACGCUGGCGGCAGGCCUAACACAUGCAAGUCGAACGAACUCUUCGGAGUUAGUGGCGGACGGGUGAGUAACACGUGGGAACGUGCCUUUUGGUUCGGAAUAACUCAGGGAAACUUGUGCUAAUACCGAAUGUGCCCUUCGGGGGAAAGAUUUAUCGCCAUUAGAGCGGCCCGCGUCUGAUUAGCUAGUUGGUGAGGUAACGGCUCACCAAGGCGACGAUCAGUAGCUGGUCUGAGAGGAUGACCAGCCACACUGGGACUGAGACACGGCCCAGACUCCUACGGGAGGCAGCAGUGGGGAAUCUUGCGCAAUGGGCGAAAGCCUGACGCAGCCAUGCCGCGUGAAUGAUGAAGGUCUUAGGAUUGUAAAAUUCUUUCACCGGGGACGAUAAUGACGGUACCCGGAGAAGAAGCCCCGGCUAACUUCGUG
Molecule: ribosomal RNA, 433 nt
Filed under: uncultured bacterium
Lineage: Bacteria
Description: partial 16S ribosomal RNA
Rfam family: Bacterial small subunit ribosomal RNA
Source: RNAcentral